RNAcentral lists this transfer RNA (71 nucleotides) under Toona sinensis. RNAcentral describes it as "tRNA-Glu". The record is from RNAcentral. Lineage: Eukaryota; Viridiplantae; Streptophyta; Magnoliopsida; Sapindales; Meliaceae.
GUUUCAGGAAGUCGAGCGGGAGUGACUAGCCUUCCUUCAAAAGCCAGAUGGGUGCCUUCACCUCUGUAAUA